Molecule: ribosomal RNA, 423 nt
Filed under: uncultured bacterium
Lineage: Bacteria
Description: bacterial SSU rRNA
Rfam family: Bacterial small subunit ribosomal RNA
Source: RNAcentral
AAGACCUUGCACUUUUGGAGCGGCCGAUGUCUGAUUAGCUAGUUGGUGGGGUAAUGGCCUACCAAAGCUUCGAUCAGUAGCUGGUCUGAGAGGACGGCCAGCCACACUGGGACUGAGACACGGCCCAGACUCCUACGGGAGGCAGCAGUGGGGAAUUUUGGACAAUGGGGGCAACCCUGAUCCAGCCAUGCCGCGUGAGUGAAGAAGGCCUUCGGGUUGUAAAGCUCUUUCAGCCGGAACGAAACGGUUACGGUUAAUAUCCGUGACUACUGACGGUACCGGAAGAAGAAGCACCGGCUAACUACGUGCCAGCAGCCGCGGUAAUACGUAGGGUGCGAGCGUUAAUCGGAAUUACUGGGCGUAAAGCGUGCGCAGGUGGUUUUGUAAGUCAGAUGUGAAAGCCCCGGGCUCAACCUGGGAACU